Molecule: unclassified non-coding RNA, 240 nt
Filed under: soil metagenome
Description: partial contains 5.8S ribosomal RNA, internal transcribed spacer 2, and large subunit ribosomal RNA
Source: RNAcentral
AACACUGUUAACCUGCGGUACCUGCGGAGGGAUCAUUACAGUGCCUGCGGGCGCCGGGUAACCCCCGGCGUCUCGCGACCUGGCCACCCGUGUCUACCUUACCUUCUGUUGCUUCGGCGGGCCCGCUCCCUGGGGGCCGCCGGGGGUGCGCUACGGCGCUGCGCCGUGGCGCACCCCUGGCCAGUGCCCGCCGAGGGCCAUUGGAACUCUUGUGGAUCAGUGACGUCUGAGGCUUAUUCU